RNAcentral lists this long non-coding RNA (1014 nucleotides) under Anas zonorhyncha (Eastern spot-billed duck). Its description in RNAcentral is "lncRNA (ENSAZOG00000013558.1)". Lineage: Eukaryota; Metazoa; Chordata; Aves; Anseriformes; Anatidae. The record is from RNAcentral.
AUGCUCUCUGCCUUGUGCCUGGCUCUCAGCUCUCCUGGGCAGUGCGGGCUGGAUUCAUCCCUCCACACCCGCUCUGCCCCAGCCCCUUUGCAGCCCCCUGGUCAGAGCAGGAUGUCUGGCUGUGCCCCGGCUGCCCCCGUGCCACGCUGCUCUCCUGGGAGCGCUCUGCCGCAUGCUGCAGGACUUCUUGGCCAGCUAGGGGAGCUCUUCCGAAAAGCUGAGCUAAACCAAGUUGUUCUCCUUCUGCCAGGGGCUGAACCCCUGCAGCGCUGCUGCCCGGGGACCCACUGCAGCACAGCUGGUCCUGCAGCAGUCCCAGCCUGGCUCUGUGGACACGGCACAGGGGGUCCCACGCCCCCCCUGCAGCCUGUCUCACCUUCAGCUGCUGCACGUAUCCGCCUCCCUCCCCAAAACUGUGCUCCCAGGCGGGUGGGAGCAGCGCCAGCCCCGCUCCCCCCGGGAAGAGCCCCAGCUCAGGCUGUUUACCAGCGUGCCCAGCAGUGCAUGGGGAGCGCUGCAGGCACUGCUGCAACUGGUGCAGACACGGGGAUCGGAGCCAGGGCCGGGAUCUGCAGGCGUCAGCAGACCUGUUGUGUGCCUGUGCUGACUGCUGCAGCUUCGCUCCUCACCGGCAAAGCUGGCGAGCCAGCAUGGGUGAGGAAUUUAAUACGAUAUGCGCAGGGGCAGGCUGAGCCUCUCCUCACUGCCUCUGCUGCAGCCGAGGGGCUGCAGGCUGGCUGGGGGCACAGUUUGGGCUGGGGGUCCCACCCUGUGGGAGCUGGAGGCCCAAAGAUUGCCCUCUGGGGUGGGCGCAGAGAAGUCCCCCUUUGCUCCAUGCUCCUAGCACAAGGAUCGGGGUGCGUGUCCAGGAGGCACCUUACUGCACGUCCUGCUGCUCUGGGGAGGCGUCAGCCUGCAGGAAGCCUGUGCCCAGCACCUGAACCCCCUUUGCUCGCACAGCCUGUGCCUGCUGGCAGUGCCAGGGGCCAGACCUGGAAGGGAACCAGUGCUUGA